CCUGGGCGCAUAGUAGCGGUAACAGAAAAACAUGUGAUUAUGACAAGUAUGACAGUGGUAGACCCCAAACAACUACGACUCCCCACACGCAACUUACGCAGGAGCUUAUGUGGAUGUGGCCUCUGUCCGACGCUGCCCUGCGCAGCUCUAACCAUUAAGCAAAUUACUGUGGCAAAUUGCGACCGAGGCCUUAAUUCCAGGUGCCAGGCACAAUUAUCAGCACCGUCCCUAGCAACUGCAUCACCAGCAGCCACCUGCUGCAGUUAUAAAUCACUUCACCCCCAGCUGCCCCCUCUGGCAGUCGCACUCACACUCACCUUGCUGGCAAUUACAUCGGCUCCCUGAAACAGCGAAUCGGAAACAAUGCCGGACAGGUCAUUGUGUAUCUCCUCCAGCUCCUGCAUCAGGUGUGGCAGAGUGUCGCAGUGGUAGGCCUCAAGCAUUCCAUUCGUGGCAUGCAGCUGCUGCACGUACGCAUUGUGUGCGUCGAUGUAUUCGGUGAGCGAGUGCUGGCUGGGGUUCUGUCGAUGGGCCAUGUGGCACUGCUUGUAGUCCAUCCGGCACUAAAAGGGAAAAUCAAACUGGGCUGGGACACACCUCAAACAAGAAUUUAUGGCUAAACGGAUUGCAGACAAAACGCAUUACGAGGUCUUUGAAAAGGCCCAAAUCUGGCAGGCAAUGAUUUUUCCCAGGACUAGGCGCACACAACGCCAAUCUCCUAAUUAGCAAAAUAACCCAUUCACUCACCUUUGACAGCUUCUCUUCAGUCUUUGCGAUAAUAGUCUCAAAAGACUCCCUGUGUGUAAAUAUUUUACGGCUUUGAACUUUGCGAUGAAAGGACUUGUCCAACAUUGGUCGCGACACCUGCAGGGUUUGGUAAGAAAAUUAAGAACGUAAAUUUGAACGUGAAUGUGAGGAUGUACAAGCCCGUGCUUUCGCUUUUUAUGUAUCGCGAAAACAAAGCAAACAAUGGGAAAAAUUAACAUUAUUCGGCACUCCAAUUACACAUGUCUUUUCCCAAGGUCCCUCGGCGGGUACGCCCCCUAAUUAGGCAUAAUUAGAGUCUGGUUUUAAUGAUGACCUUUGUCUGCCCAAUGGUUGGCUCAACGGAUCGAUGCAGCAUUCAUAUAUGAAUUUAGUUAUCACAAUAUUCCAUGUAC
Drosophila pseudoobscura is the source of this 1160-nucleotide long non-coding RNA. RefSeq lists it as uncharacterized. Lineage: Eukaryota; Metazoa; Arthropoda; Insecta; Diptera; Drosophilidae. The record is from RefSeq and is a predicted model, not a curated record. The transcript is spliced from 3 exons.